Paramisgurnus dabryanus is the source of this 690-nucleotide non-coding RNA. NCBI's taxonomy places the organism in Eukaryota, Metazoa, Chordata, Actinopteri, Cypriniformes, Cobitidae. The record is from RefSeq and is a predicted model, not a curated record.
CGCAAGCUUCUCUGUUUUCAAUAUUUUUGAAAUGGCUGCUGAGCAAGACAGAGGGAGAGCAGAGGAUGUUAUCUUCAUAGCAAACAUGCUUCUUGCUCAAAUCAAGGGAAAGGAACCCAAGGGCAAAGCAACAGCCAUUAAAGGGAGUACAUUUAAUGUCCGAUAGGUGGAGAAAAUGCUGAAGGACGUCCACUACUAAAAAGAAGCAGAAGUGAAGAGAUACAAAGCUUCAGCUACAGUCUGUUUAUUGCCUACAGUGAGACCUCCACAUUUCUGCACUUGUGAUCAUGCAAACAUCCAGUGUAGAGCACUUCACCUGCCCGGCAUGUACACCCAACAAUGCUCGCUCUUUGUGCAGAUGGCAACAGAAAAACCUACAGAUUCCGUCAGUCAAAAGAAAGGAGCUUCAAGCAGCCACAAACGGAGAGUUCUUUUGAACAGAUAUUGCUUGCAAGUAUUGGCCAUACCUUGAGAAGGUGUCAGUCUCCAUGUUGGAACUCAGACCUUUACUGCAGAUGAGACCUUUCCUUUCUGUCAUGCAUGCCAAGGCUCAUUCAACCAAGUGUCAGGUGUCACACAUUUGUUAGAUAAUCUGACAAAAAUCAGGAAGGUGCUGGUACAACUGCAGUUGUGGAGGUCGAAAUGGUCAACAGCAACCUGUCUCGUUGUGGCCUCACAACCAAGUAUCUG